AGCGAACGCUGGCGGCAGGCCUAACACAUGCAAGUCGAGCGCCCCGCAAGGGGAGCGGCAGACGGGAGAGUAACACGUGGGAACGUACCCUUUGGUUCGGAACAACCCAGGGAAACUUGGGCUAAUACCGAAUAAGCCCUUACGGGGAAAGAUUUAUCGCCGAAGGAUCGGCCCGCGUCUGAUUAGCUAGUUGGUGAGGUAACGGCUCACCAAGGCGACGAUGAGUAGCCGGUCUGAGAGGAUGAUCAGCCUCACUGGGACUGAGACACGGCCGAGACUCCGACGGGAGGCAGCAGUGGGGAAUAUUGGACAAUGGGCGCAAGCCUGAUCCAGCCAUGCCGCGUGGGUGAUGAAGGCCCUAGGGUUGUAAAGCCCUUUCGGCGGGGAAGAUAAUGACGGUACCCGCAGAAGAAGCCCCGGCUAACUUCGUGCCAGCCGCCGCUGUAA
This 447-nucleotide ribosomal RNA is filed under the name uncultured bacterium. Its description in RNAcentral is "partial 16S ribosomal RNA". It matches the Rfam family "Bacterial small subunit ribosomal RNA", at positions 29 to 523 of the family's 1533-position model. The record is from RNAcentral.